GUUUUUGUAGUUGAAUACAACGGUAGUUUUUCAAAUUGCAGGUCUUGGUCGGAAUCCAGGCAAGAAUU
RNAcentral lists this transfer RNA (68 nucleotides) under Cuora flavomarginata (Chinese box turtle). RNAcentral describes it as "tRNA-Glu". It matches the Rfam family "tRNA". From Rfam's summary of the family: Transfer RNA (tRNA) molecules are approximately 80 nucleotides in length. Their secondary structure includes four short double-helical elements and three loops (D, anti-codon, and T loops). The record is from RNAcentral. Lineage: Eukaryota; Metazoa; Chordata; Testudines; Geoemydidae.